UUUCUCUCUUCCCAUUCUUCCGUUGAUGUCUGGUCGUGGUUUCUUUCUUCCCAUUCAUCUGUUGACGUCUGGUCGUGGUUUCUUUUCUCCCAUUCAUCAGUGGAUGUCUGGUCGUGGUUUCUUUCUUCCCAUUCAUCCGUUAAUGUCUGGUCGUGGUUUCUUUCUUCCCAUUCAUCCGUGGAUGUCAGGUCGUGGUUUCUCUCUUUCCAUUCAUCUGUUGAUGUCUGGUCGUGGUUUCUCUUCUCCCAUUCAUCAGUGGAUGUCUUGUCGUGGUUUCUCUCUUCCCAUUCAUCCGUUGAUGUCUGGUCGUGGCUUCUUUCUUCCCAUUCAUCCGUUGAUGUCUGGUCGUGGUUUCUCUUCCCAUUCAUCAGUUGAUGUCUGGUCAUGGUUUUUCUUCCCAUUUAUCCGUGGAUGUCUGGUCGUGGUUUCCCUCUUCCCAUUCAUCCGUUGAUGUCUGGUCGUGGCUUCUUUCUUCGCAUUCAUCCGUUGACGUCUGGUCGUGGUUUCUUUCUUCCCAUUCAUCCGUUGAUGUCUGGUCGUGGUUUCUUUCUUCCCAUUCAUCUGUGGACGUCUGGUCAUGGUUUCUCUCUUCUCAUUCAUCCGUUGAUGUCUGGUCGUGGUUUCUUUUCUCCCAUUCAUCAGUAGAACAGACCAGCACCAAAGAAAGAAGGGUAAGUAAGCAACAACAGAGGUCGUGGUUUCUCUCUCCCCAUUCAUCCGAGAGAUGUCUGGUCGUGGUUUCUUUCUUCCCAUUCAUCCGUUGAUGUUUGGUCGUGGCUUCUUUCUUCCCAUUCAUCCGUUGAUGUCUGGUCGUGGUUUCUCAUCCCAUUCAUCAGUUGAUGUCUGGUCGUGGUUUUUCUUCCCAUUCAUCCGUGGAUGUUUGGUCGUGGUUUCUCCCUUCCCAUUCUUUCGUUGAUGUCUGGUCGUGGUUUCUUUUCUCCCAUUCAUCAGUGGAUGUCUGGUCGUGGUUUCUUUCUUCCCAUUCAUCUGUUGAUGUCUGGUCGUGGUUUCUUUCUUCCCAUUCAUCCGUUGACGUCUGAUCGUGGUUUCUCUCUUCCCAUUCAUCCGUUGAUGUCUGGUCGUGGCUUAUUUCUUCGCAUUCAUGCGUUGACGUCUGGUCGUGGUUUCUUUCUUCCCAUUCAUCCGUUGAUGUCUGGUCGUGGUUUCUUUCUUCCUAUUCAUCCGUGGAUGUAUGGUCAUGGUUUCUCUAUUCCCAUUCAUUCGUUGAUGUCUGGUCGUGGUUUCUUUUCUCCCAUUCAUCAGUGGAUGUCUGGUUGUGCUUUCUUACUUCCGAUUCAUUCGUUGAUGUCUGGUCGUGGUUUCUUUCUUCCCAUUCAUCCAUUGAUGUCUGGUCGUGGUUUCUUUCUUCCCAUUCAUCCGUUGAUGUCUGGUCGUGGUUUCUUUCUUCCCAUUCAUCGAGAGAUGUCUGGUCGUGGUUUCUUUCUUCCCAUUCAUCGAGAGAUGUCUGGUCGUGGUUUCUUUCUUCCCAUUCAUCGAGAGAUGUCUGGUCGUGGUUUCUUUCUUCCCAUUCAUCGAGAGAUGUCUGGUCGUGGUUUCUUUCUUCCCAUUCAUCGAGAGAUGUCUGGUCGUGGUUUCUUUCUUCCCAUUCAUCGAGAGAUGUCUGGUCGUGGUUUCUUUCUUCCCAUUCAUCGAGAGAUGUCUGGUCGUGGUUUCUUUCUUCCCAUUCAUCGAGAGAUGUCUGGUCGUGGUUUCUUUCUUCCCAUUCAUCGAGAGAUGUCUGGUCGUGGUUUCUUUCUUCCCAUUCAUCGAGAGAUGUCUGGUCGUGGUUUCUUUCUUCCCAUUCAUCGAGAGAUGUCUGGUCGUGGUUUCUUUCUUCCCAUUCAUCGAGAGAUGUCUGGUCGUGGUUUCUUUCUUCCCAUUCAUCGAGAGAUGUCUGGUCGUGGUUUCUUUCUUCCCAUUCAUCGAGAGAUGUCUGGUCGUGGUUUCUUUCUUCCCAUUCAUCGAGAGAUGUCUGGUCGUGGUUUCUUUCUUCCCAUUCAUCGAGAGAUGUCUGGUCGUGGUUUCUUUCUUCCCAUUCAUCGAGAGAUGUCUGGUCGUGGUUUCUUUCUUCCCAUUCAUCGAGAGAUGUCUGGUCGUGGUUUCUUUCUUCCCAUUCAUCGAGAGAUGUCUGGUCGUGGUUUCUUUCUUCCCAUUCAUCGAGAGAUGUCUGGUCGUGGUUUCUUUCUUCCCAUUCAUCGAGAGAUGUCUGGUCGUGGUUUCUUUCUUCCCAUUCAUCGAGAGAUGUCUGGUCGUGGUUUCUUUCUUCCCAUUCAUCGAGAGAUGUCUGGUCGUGGUUUCUUUCUUCCCAUUCAUCGAGAGAUGUCUGGUCGUGGUUUCUUUCUUCCCAUUCAUCCGUUGAUGUCUGGUCGUGGUUUCUUUCUUCCCAUUCAUCGAGAGAUGUCUGGUCGUGGUUUCUUUCUUCCCAUUCAUCCGUUGAUGUCUGGUCGUGGUUUCUUUCUUCCCAUUCAUCGAGAGAUGUCUGGUCGUGGUUUCUUUCUUCCCAUUCAUCGAGAGAUGUCUGGUCGUGGUUUCUUUCUUCCCAUUCAUCGAGAGAUGUCUGGUCGUGGUUUCUUUCUUCCCAUUCAUCGAGAGAUGUCUGGUCGUGGUUUCUUUCUUCCCAUUCAUCGAGAGAUGUCUGGUCGUGGUUUCUUUCUUCCCAUUCAUCGAGAGAUGUCUGGUCGUGGUUUCUUUCUUCCCAUUCAUCGAGAGAUGUCUGGUCGUGGUUUCUUUCUUCCCAUUCAUCGAGAGAUGUCUGGUCGUGGUUUCUUUCUUCCCAUUCAUCGAGAGAUGUCUGGUCGUGGUUUCUUUCUUCCCAUUCAUCGAGAGAUGUCUGGUCGUGGUUUCUUUCUUCCCAUUCAUCGAGAGAUGUCUGGUCGUGGUUUCUUUCUUCCCAUUCAUCGAGAGAUGUCUGGUCGUGGUUUCUUUCUUCCCAUUCAUCGAGAGAUGUCUGGUCGUGGUUUCUUUCUUCCCAUUCAUCGAGAGAUGUCUGGUCGUGGUUUCUUUCUUCCCAUUCAUCGAGAGAUGUCUGGUCGUGGUUUCUUUCUUCCCAUUCAUCGAGAGAUGUCUGGUCGUGGUUUCUUUCUUCCCAUUCAUCGAGAGAUGUCUGGUCGUGGUUUCUUUCUUCCCAUUCAUCGAGAGAUGUCUGGUCGUGGUUUCUUUCUUCCCAUUCAUCGAGAGAUGUCUGGUCGUGGUUUCUUUCUUCCCAUUCAUCGAGAGAUGUCUGGUCGUGGUUUCUUUCUUCCCAUUCAUCGAGAGAUGUCUGGUCGUGGUUUCUUUCUUCCCAUUCAUCGAGAGAUGUCUGGUCGUGGUUUCUUUCUUCCCAUUCAUCGAGAGAUGUCUGGUCGUGGUUUCUUUCUUCCCAUUCAUCGAGAGAUGUCUGGUCGUGGUUUCUUUCUUCCCAUUCAUCCGUUGAUGUCUGGUCGUGGUUUCUUUCUUCCCAUUCAUCGAGAGAUGUCUGGUCGUGGUUUCUUUCUUCCCAUUCAUCCGUUGAUGUCUGGUCGUGGUUUCUUUCUUCCCAUUCAUCGAGAGAUGUCUGGUCGUGGUUUCUUUCUUCCCAUUCAUCGAGAGAUGUCUGGUCGUGGUUUCUUUCUUCCCAUUCAUCGAGAGAUGUCUGGUCGUGGUUUCUUUCUUCCCAUUCAUCGAGAGAUGUCUGGUCGUGGUUUCUUUCUUCCCAUUCAUCGAGAGAUGUCUGGUCGUGGUUUCUUUCUUCCCAUUCAUCGAGAGAUGUCUGGUCGUGGUUUCUUUCUUCCCAUUCAUCGAGAGAUGUCUGGUCGUGGUUUCUUUCUUCCCAUUCAUCGAGAGAUGUCUGGUCGUGGUUUCUUUCUUCCCAUUCAUCGAGAGAUGUCUGGUCGUGGUUUCUUUCUUCCCAUUCAUCGAGAGAUGUCUGGUCGUGGUUUCUUUCUUCCCAUUCAUCGAGAGAUGUCUGGUCGUGGUUUCUUUCUUCCCAUUCAUCGAGAGAUGUCUGGUCGUGGUUUCUUUCUUCCCAUUCAUCGAGAGAUGUCUGGUCGUGGUUUCUUUCUUCCCAUUCAUCGAGAGAUGUCUGGUCGUGGUUUCUUUCUUCCCAUUCAUCGAGAGAUGUCUGGUCGUGGUUUCUUUCUUCCCAUUCAUCGAGAGAUGUCUGGUCGUGGUUUCUUUCUUCCCAUUCAUCGAGAGAUGUCUGGUCGUGGUUUCUUUCUUCCCAUUCAUCGAGAGAUGUCUGGUCGUGGUUUCUUUCUUCCCAUUCAUCGAGAGAUGUCUGGUCGUGGUUUCUUUCUUCCCAUUCAUCGAGAGAUGUCUGGUCGUGGUUUCUUUCUUCCCAUUCAUCGAGAGAUGUCUGGUCGUGGUUUCUUUCUUCCCAUUCAUCGAGAGAUGUCUGGUCGUGGUUUCUUUCUUCCCAUUCAUCGAGAGAUGUCUGGUCGUGGUUUCUUUCUUCCCAUUCAUCGAGAGAUGUCUGGUCGUGGUUUCUUUCUUCCCAUUCAUCGAGAGAUGUCUGGUCGUGGUUUCUUUCUUCCCAUUCAUCGAGAGAUGUCUGGUCGUGGUUUCUUUCUUCCCAUUCAUCGAGAGAUGUCUGGUCGUGGUUUCUUUCUUCCCAUUCAUCCGUUGAUGUCUGGUCGUGGUUUCUUUCUUCCCAUUCAUCCGUUGAUGUCUGGUCGUGGUUUCUUUCUUCCCAUUCAUCCGUUGAUGUCUGGUCGUGGUUUCUUUCUUCCCAUUCAUCCGUUGAUGUCUGGUCGUGGUUUCUUUCUUCCCAUUCAUCCAUUGAUGUCUGGUCGUGGUUUCUCUCUUCCCAUUCAUCCGUUGAUGUCUGGUCGUGGUUUCUCUCUUCCCAUUCAUCCGUUGAUGUCUGGUCGUGGUUUAUUACUUCCCAUUCAUCUGUUGACGUCUGGUCGUGGUUUCUUUUCUCUCAUUCAUCAGUGGAUGUCUGGGCGUGGUUUCUUUUGUCCCAUUCAUCCGUUGAUGUCUGGUCGUGGUUUCUUUCUUCCCAUUCAUCCGUGGAUGUGAGGUCGUGGUUUCUCUCUUUCCAUUCAUCCGUUGAUGUCUGGUCGUGGUUUCUUUUCUCCCAUACAUCGGUGGAUUUCUUGUCGUGGUUUCUCUCUUCCCAUUAAUCCGAGAGAUGUCUGGUCGUGGUUUCUUUCUUCCCAUUCAUCCGUUGAUGUCUGGUCGUGGCUUCUUUCUUCCCAUUCAUCCGUUGAUGUCUGGUCGUUUCUUCCCAUUCAUCCGUUGAAGUCUGGUCGUGGUUUCUCUCUUCCCAUUCUUCCGUUGAUGUCUGGUCGUGGUUUCUUUCUUCCCAUUCAUCUGUUGACGUCUGGUCGUGGUUUCUUUUCUUCCCAUUCAUCAGUGGAUGUCUGGGCGUGGUUUCUUUUGUCCCAUUCAUCCGUUGAUGUCUGGUCGUGGUUUCUUUCUUCCCAUUCAUCCGUGGAUGUGAGGUCGUGGUUUCUCUCUUUCCAUUCAUCCGUUGAUGUCUGGUCGUGGUUUCUUUUCUCCCAUUCAUCGGUGGAUUUCUUGUCGUGGUUUCUCUCUUCCCAUUAAUCCGAGAGAUGUCUGGUCGUGGUUUCUUUCUUCCCAUUCAUCCGUUGAUGUCUGGUCGUGGCUUCUUUCUUCCCAUUCAUCCGUUGAUGUCUGGUCAUUGUUUCUCUUCCCAUUCAUCAGUUGAUGUCUGGUCAUGGUUUUUCUUCCCAUUCAUCCGUGGAUGUCUGGUCGUGGUUUCUCUCUUCCCAUUCAUCCGUUGAUGUCUGGUCGUGGUUUCUUUUCUCCCAUUCAUAAGUGGAUGUCUGGUCAAGGUUUCUUUCUUCCCAUUCAUCCGUUGAUGUCUGGUCGUGGUUUCUUUCUUUCCAUUCAUCCGUUGAUGUCUGGUCGUGGUUUCUUUCUUCCCAUUCAUCCGUUGAUGUCUGGUCGUGGUUUCUUUCUUCCCAUUCAUCGAGAGAUGUCUGGUCGUGGUUUCUUUCUUCCCAUUCAUCCGUUGAUGUCUGGUCGUGGUUUCUUUCUUCCCAUUCAUCGAGAGAUGUCUGGUCGUGGUUUCUUUCUUCCCAUUCAUCCGUUGAUGUCUGGUCGUGGUUUCUUUCUUCCCAUUCAUCGAGAGAUGUCUGGUCGUGGUUUCUUUCUUCCCAUUCAUCCGUUGAUGUCUGGUCGUGGUUUCUUUCUUCCCAUUCAUCGAGAGAUGUCUGGUCGUGGUUUCUUUCUUCCCAUUCAUCCGUUGAUGUCUGGUCGUGGUUUCUUUCUUCCCAUUCAUCGAGAGAUGUCUGGUCGUGGUUUCUUUCUUCCCAUUCAUCCGUUGAUGUCUGGUCGUGGUUUCUUUCUUCCCAUUCAUCGAGAGAUGUCUGGUCGUGGUUUCUUUCUUCCCAUUCAUCCGUUGAUGUCUGGUCGUGGUUUCUUUCUUCCCAUUCAUCGAGAGAUGUCUGGUCGUGGUUUCUUUCUUCCCAUUCAUCCGUUGAUGUCUGGUCGUGGUUUCUUUCUUCCCAUUCAUCGAGAGAUGUCUGGUCGUGGUUUCUUUCUUCCCAUUCAUCCGUUGAUGUCUGGUCGUGGUUUCUUUCUUCCCAUUCAUCGAGAGAUGUCUGGUCGUGGUUUCUUUCUUCCCAUUCAUCCGUUGAUGUCUGGUCGUGGUUUCUUUCUUCCCAUUCAUCGAGAGAUGUCUGGUCGUGGUUUCUUUCUUCCCAUUCAUCCGUUGAUGUCUGGUCGUGGUUUCUUUCUUCCCAUUCAUCGAGAGAUGUCUGGUCGUGGUUUCUUUCUUCCCAUUCAUCCGUUGAUGUCUGGUCGUGGUUUCUUUCUUCCCAUUCAUCGAGAGAUGUCUGGUCGUGGUUUCUUUCUUCCCAUUCAUCCGUUGAUGUCUGGUCGUGGUUUCUUUCUUCCCAUUCAUCGAGAGAUGUCUGGUCGUGGUUUCUUUCUUCCCAUUCAUCCGUUGAUGUCUGGUCGUGGUUUCUUUCUUCCCAUUCAUCGAGAGAUGUCUGGUCGUGGUUUCUUUCUUCCCAUUCAUCCGUUGAUGUCUGGUCGUGGUUUCUUUCUUCCCAUUCAUCGAGAGAUGUCUGGUCGUGGUUUCUUUCUUCCCAUUCAUCCGUUGAUGUCUGGUCGUGGUUUCUUUCUUCCCAUUCAUCGAGAGAUGUCUGGUCGUGGUUUCUUUCUUCCCAUUCAUCCGUUGAUGUCUGGUCGUGGUUUCUUUCUUCCCAUUCAUCGAGAGAUGUCUGGUCGUGGUUUCUUUCUUCCCAUUCAUCCGUUGAUGUCUGGUCGUGGUUUCUUUCUUCCCAUUCAUCGAGAGAUGUCUGGUCGUGGUUUCUUUCUUCCCAUUCAUCCGUUGAUGUCUGGUCGUGGUUUCUUUCUUCCCAUUCAUCGAGAGAUGUCUGGUCGUGGUUUCUUUCUUCCCAUUCAUCCGUUGAUGUCUGGUCGUGGUUUCUUUCUUCCCAUUCAUCGAGAGAUGUCUGGUCGUGGUUUCUUUCUUCCCAUUCAUCCGUUGAUGUCUGGUCGUGGUUUCUUUCUUCCCAUUCAUCGAGAGAUGUCUGGUCGUGGUUUCUUUCUUCCCAUUCAUCCGUUGAUGUCUGGUCGUGGUUUCUUUCUUCCCAUUCAUCGAGAGAUGUCUGGUCGUGGUUUCUUUCUUCCCAUUCAUCCGUUGAUGUCUGGUCGUGGUUUCUUUCUUCCCAUUCAUCGAGAGAUGUCUGGUCGUGGUUUCUUUCUUCCCAUUCAUCCGUUGAUGUCUGGUCGUGGUUUCUUUCUUCCCAUUCAUCGAGAGAUGUCUGGUCGUGGUUUCUUUCUUCCCAUUCAUCCGUUGAUGUCUGGUCGUGGUUUCUUUCUUCCCAUUCAUCGAGAGAUGUCUGGUCGUGGUUUCUUUCUUCCCAUUCAUCCGUUGAUGUCUGGUCGUGGUUUCUUUCUUCCCAUUCAUCGAGAGAUGUCUGGUCGUGGUUUCUUUCUUCCCAUUCAUCCGUUGAUGUCUGGUCGUGGUUUCUUUCUUCCCAUUCAUCGAGAGAUGUCUGGUCGUGGUUUCUUUCUUCCCAUUCAUCCGUUGAUGUCUGGUCGUGGUUUCUUUCUUCCCAUUCAUCGAGAGAUGUCUGGUCGUGGUUUCUUUCUUCCCAUUCAUCCGUUGAUGUCUGGUCGUGGUUUCUUUCUUCCCAUUCAUCGAGAGAUGUCUGGUCGUGGUUUCUUUCUUCCCAUUCAUCCGUUGAUGUCUGGUCGUGGUUUCUUUCUUCCCAUUCAUCGAGAGAUGUCUGGUCGUGGUUUCUUUCUUCCCAUUCAUCCGUUGAUGUCUGGUCGUGGUUUCUUUCUUCCCAUUCAUCGAGAGAUGUCUGGUCGUGGUUUCUUUCUUCCCAUUCAUCCGUUGAUGUCUGGUCGUGGUUUCUUUCUUCCCAUUCAUCGAGAGAUGUCUGGUCGUGGUUUCUUUCUUCCCAUUCAUCCGUUGAUGUCUGGUCGUGGUUUCUUUCUUCCCAUUCAUCGAGAGAUGUCUGGUCGUGGUUUCUUUCUUCCCAUUCAUCCGUUGAUGUCUGGUCGUGGUUUCUUUCUUCCCAUUCAUCGAGAGAUGUCUGGUCGUGGUUUCUUUCUUCCCAUUCAUCCGUUGAUGUCUGGUCGUGGUUUCUUUCUUCCCAUUCAUCGAGAGAUGUCUGGUCGUGGUUUCUUUCUUCCCAUUCAUCCGUUGAUGUCUGGUCGUGGUUUCUCUCUUCCCAUUCAUUUGUUGAUGUCUGGUCGUGGUUUCUCUCUUCCAUUUCAUCCGUUGAUGUCUGGUCGUGGCUUCUUUCUUCCCAUUCAUCUGUUGACGUCUGGUCGUGGUUUCUUUUCUCCCAUUCAUCAAUGGAUGUCUGGUCAUGGUUUCUUUCUUCCCAUUCAUCUGUUGAUGUCUGGUCGUGGUUUCUUUCUUCCCAUUCAUCCGUGGAUGUCAGGUCGUGGGUUCUCUCUUCCCAUUCAUCCGUUGAUGUCUGGUUGUGUUUUCUCUUCCCAUUCAUCCGUUGAUGUCUGGUCGUGGUUUCUCUCUUCCCAUUCAUUUGUUGAUGUCUGAUUGUGGUUUCUUUCUUCCCAUUCAUCAGUGGAUGUCUAGUCGUGGCUUCUUUCUUCCCAUUCAUCCGUUGAUGUCUGGUCGUGGUUUCUCUUCCCAUUCAUCAGUUGAUGUCUGGUCGUGGUUUUUCUUCCCAUUCAUCCGUGGAUGUCUGGUCGUGGUUUCUCUCCAGAAUCCAACGGACUGAAAUGGGAAGAAAGAAACCACGAACCAAACAAUCAACAGGAUGAAUGGAAGAAAGAAACCACGCCAGACAUCAGCUCAUGAAUGGAAGAGAAAGAACCACGACCGGACUCAAACGAUAGAAUGGGAAAAGAAAACGCACGACAUAACCAACGUGAUGAUGGAAGAAAACCACGACCAGGACAUCAAGGAUGAAUGGAAAGAGAAACCACGACAGACUACCAGAUGAAUGGGAGAAAGAAGCACCGACAGAGAUCAAACGACUGAGAAUGGAAGGAAAGAACCACGACAGACAAUCAGAUGAAUGGGAAAGAAAGACAAUCACAGAUGAGGAACCGACCAGACAUCACGGAUAAAUGGGAGAGAGAACCACGACCAGACAUCUCCGCGAUGAAUGGAAAAGAAAGAUACCACGACCAGACAUCAACGGAUGAAUGGGAAGAAAGAACACCACGACCAGACAAUCCAUUGAUGAAUGGGAAGAAAGAAACCACGACAGACAUCAACGGAUGAAUGGGAAGAAAGAAACCACGACCAGACAUCAACGAAUGAAUGGGAAGAAAGAAACCACGACCAGACAUCCACUGAUGAAUGGAGAAAAGAAACCAUGACAGACAUCAACAGAUGAAUGGGAGAGAGAAACCAUGACCUACAUCCAGGAUGAAUGGAAAGAAAAGAAACCACGACCAGACAUCAACGGAUGAAUGGGAAGAAAGAACCCACGACCAGACGUCAACGGAUGAAUCGAAGAAGAAGCCACGACCAGACUCGUGUGGAGAGGACCACGACAUACAUCACGAUGAUGGGAAGAGAGAAACCAACGACCAGACUCAACGGAUGAAUGGGAAGAAAGAAACCACGAACCAAGAACAUCACGGUAUGAAUGGGAAGAAAAGAAAACCACGACAUCAUCCACUUAUGAAAUGGGAGGAAAAGAAACCACGACCAGACAUCAACGGAUGAAUGUGAAGAGAGGAAACACGACCAGACAUCGACAGAUGAAUGGAAGAAAAACCACGACAAACAUCAACUAUUGAAUGGGAAGAGAACAACGACCAGACAUCAACGGAUGAAUGGGAAGAAAGUAGCCACGACCAAGACAUCACGGAUGAAUGGGAAGAAAGAAACCACGACCAAACAUCCAUUGAUGAAUGGGAAGAAAAGAAACCACGACAAGACAUCAACGGAUGAAUGGGAAGAAAGAAACCACGACCUGACACUCCACGAUGAAUGGGAAGAAAGCACCCGACCAACAUCAACGAUGAAUGGGAAGAAAGAAACCACGACCAAAACAUCCACUGAUGAAUGGGAGAAGAACCACGACCAGACGUCACAGAUUGAAUGGGAAGAAAGAAACCGACGACAUCAACGGAUAAAUGGGAAGAAGAGAAACCACGACCAGGACAUCAACGGAUUGAAUGGGAAAGAGAGAAACCACGACAGACAUCAACGAGAAUGGGAAGAAAGAAAACCACGAUCAGACAUCAACGAUGAAUGGAAGAAAAGAAACGACGACCAAGAACAUCAACAGAUGAAUGGGAAAGGAAAGAACGCACGACCGCAGACAUCCACUAAUGAAUGGGAGAAAGAACCAACGACCAGACAUCCGGAUGAUGGGAAGAGAGAACCACGACCACUCCACGGUGAGGGAACCACGACCAGACCAAACUGAUGAAUGGGAAGAGAAACCACGACCAGACAUCAACGGAUGAAUGGGAAGACAUAAGCCACCACGCAGACAUCAAUGGUUGAAUGGGAAGAGAGAAGAACGCACGACCAGACAUCUCUCUGAUGAAUGGGAAAGAGAAAACUGACCAGACAAUCACGAAUGAAUGGGAAGAGAGAAACACGACCAGACAUCAUGAAUGAAUGGGAGAAAGAACCACGACCAGACAUCCAAUCGGAUGAAAUGGCGAAGACAGAGAAACCACGACCUGACAUCCACGGAUGAAUGGGAAGAAAGAAACUACGACCAGACUCAACGGAUGAAUGGGAAGAUAAACCACGACCUAGACAUCCACUGAUGACUGGCGGAAAGAAAAAAGCACGACCAGAACGGUCAACGUGUGGGACGAAGAGCACGACCAGACAUCAAAUGAUGAAUUGGGAAGAGAGAAACACACAGACUCAACAAAUGAAUGGGAAGAGAGACCACGACCAGACGUCAACGGAUGAAUGCGGAGAAAGCAAACCACGAGCCAGACAUCAACCGGAUGAAUGGGAAAGAAAGAAACAACGACCAGACAUCCACUGAUGAAAGGUUGAAAAGAACGCAACGACCAGACAUACGGAUGAAUGGGAAGAGAGAACCCGCCCAGCGACAAUCCCGGAUGAAUUGGGAAGAAAAACACGACCAGACAUCAACUGAUGAUGGGAAGAGAACCACGACCAGACACAACGGAUGAAUGGGAAGAAAGAAGCCAGCUACGCUCCGAUAAUGGGAAGAAGAAACACAAUCGCAUCAACAAAUAAUGGGAAGAGAGAAACCGACGACCAGACAUCAAACGGACUGAAGGGAAGAGAAACACAACCAGACAAUCAACGGAUGAAUGGGAAGAGAGAACCCACAGACCUGACAUCCACGGAUGAAUGGAAGAAAGAAACCAACGACCAGACAUCAACAGAUGAAUGGGGGACUGCAGUCCAUUAUGAGAUGGGAGAAAAGAAACACGACCAGCGUCAACAGAUGUCGGGAGAGAGCACGAAGAACAUCAAACGGAUGAAAUGGAAGAGAGAAACCACGACCAGGACAUCAAAAUGAAUGGGAAGAGAGAAACCACGACCAGACAUCAACGGAUGAAUGGGGAAGAAAGAACCAGAAGNNNNNNNNNNNNNNNNNNNNNNNNNUUUUAGCAUUAAGGAGGGCUUCAGACAAACGCAUGCCAAAAGAAACGACAGGGCUUCCAGACUACAUGGAGGAAAGAGGUACCUAGUGGUAUGCCAACCACCAAGUCAAAGCAAAGCUCAAGCAAGAGCUAAAAGCGAUAAAGUACCGUUAUAAAAGGCUAGUCAAUCAGUAACUCAGACAAAACAAUCAGAAAACAGACAAACCAAUCAACAGUGUUACACCAAGCAAAGCAUAAGAGCAAGCACUCAAAUUGUUUCAUCAUUUCAAAUGCCUACAAACAGCAAGGUUAGUGAUCACAAGUAAUUGGCAUCUCAAGCAAUGAGAUCACAUCAACCAUUAUAUCUAAUUGCUUGAACCUGAAAUACAAAGCUCAAAAGGUGAGUACAAACCACUAGUGCAAAGACUAGGGUCAAAGCAAAGCAAAAAAGUCAAAACAGAAGUUGAUGUUCAACAUGAAGCACAUUUAAAUAAGUAAGAACAUGUCCUAAAAAGGAUCAAAAUCCAAAUCAAUAAACAAGCCAUCUAAUGAACAAGAUAAGGCAAAGGCAAUCACAAUGCACACAAUUGGAUAUCAAACAUAAAAAAUCCACAUUAAACAGAAAUGAGUCAAUGAUCAUGAAAUUUUUUAUGUGCACACAACAUGUUAACACAAGCCUCAUGCAAAAAAUUGGAAUCAGAAAAGCUCAAUUGACAUGUAUAUGAAAAUGAACAAGAAAAACAUCAAAAUGUGUGACACAAAUUGUCACACCGCAAUAUUCAUGUGUCUAAAACAGAGAUGGAAUAUGCUAAAAAUGCCAAACAAAAAUCUCAAAAAUCAUGUAACAUGUUAGGAAUAAGCAUGUUAAAAUUUCAUGGCAAUUGGAAAAUUAAUGAGCAUUUCAUAAACAAUUGAAUGAAGCAUGGUAGUUUUGCAUACAUGUUCAAACACACAAUCUCAAUUAAAAAUCCAGAACAAUCAAAUCACACAAAUGACAAUCUAAAAAUAAAAGACAUCAAUACAAAAAGUGAAAAAAAUUGAAGUAAUUUGGAUUAGUAGCUUAUUUUUAAUGAUUUUUUAAUUUGAUGAACAAAAUGGAAUAAUGGAAAAAAACAUGUGAAGCAAUGUUAAUGUGAAUAGAAAAAUUGGAAAUAGCAUCAGGUGAGAAUUGACACAUGCAUACAAGGUCACAAAGCGCUGGCAAUUGAAAUCCAGAAUGUACAAAGCCAAGGAUCGAACCAAGGCAUAUGAAGCCCAAGAGGCGCUCAGUAAAAACAAUUAAAACAAUCCAAAAUCACAUAAGCAAGGAUCGAACAGGCGACGACACGGUCCAAGCGCGUUUCAAGUGAAACGCUGCGUUUGGCAGUGGAAAUGGAAAAUGGAUUUUAAGAAACGCUCACGCAUGGGAUCGAUACCGAGGAUGGCGUGGUUACAAGCGUUCAAACGUGAACCCUAACGCAUCAAACCCAGAGCACUAUGGUACUGUUUCCAGGACGGUGGAGGACGGCGGAAGCUCAUUCGUCUUCUCCGAUGAUUUUCCGGCGAGCAUUCAACAUUUUUUUCCAGAUUUUUACAUGCAUACAUCAUUGGAUCGUCUCGACACAUAGAACACGGAUUCUAACAUCAUCUAAGCCUAAUCAUCCUAACAAGAGCGAAUCGAAGAGAAACAUAAUGCACAUCAAAAAUUACACUCAUCGUAUCUCACUCAAAUCUUCACCAAAUUUAGUAAAAUUUCAUAUCAGAAUCAUCAGUGACAAAAAACUCUACAUGUUCAUUGCAAUAGAAUAGAAAUAGCUGAGAUUCGAUUUCUAACCUCUUUGAAGAACAGUGAACUGAUUUCUUGGAUUCAACUCCAGCAAUGUCCAGAUCACUCCUAAGCUGGUGUAUGGAAGCUUUAGCACGAAUUGAUGCUCAAUCCACUUGAAUGCAGCUCAAACUUCAAGUCCCAUCUUCAUGUUCAUAGGCUUGUGCAGCUUGAUUCUUUCUCCAAAUCUUCAAAUCAAUGCUCGAUUCCUACUCCAUAACCCUCAUGAACAUGAUAUGCAGAAAAAUCAAGGAGUUGCUUGUGGAGAAUUUUGCAGUUUAAGAUGAGAGAAAAAUGGAGGGAAAUGAGAAAUUUCAGAUCUAGAAUGUUAAAAACUGAGCCAAAACAGUUAGGAUUAUCUAUUUAUAUGCUGUGUUAAUUAUGCCUGCUAAUCACAAUUAGGCUUGGCUAAUGAAAUUUAAUGAGAAAUGAGGUGUAUGACCAAUUUGGCAAAUGCACCCUUGCAUGGAAAAAAAUGCACGUGAACAGUGCACAUGCAAGGUCAAAAUCACUUAAAAUCAGCUCAAGAACAACAUAGAAGUGGAAUUUUGCAUGUAUGAUUCACCAAUUUCAAAAUUAUGCACUUUCCUCCAAAAUGCACUUGAAUGGACAAAUGAUAAUGUGAUUCUGUUUCAUGCAUGCAAUGGUAGAUUGGAUAGAUAUUGGUCACAAGAAGCAUAUUGCAAAAAGAGUGACUCAAAUUGGAGUUUUUGGAUCAAAAGUUAUGGCAUGUUGAACCUCCAUGUACACUUUGCAAUCAUUGGACCAUAACUUUUCAACCACUCAUCAGAUACUCAUGAUAUUGGACUUUUUUGAAAAGAGAAGAGAAAGAUCUUCAACUUUCAUGUUGACGCAAAAUUUCAUUUGAGCUUCUUUGAUGUUGGAAAGACAAGUUGAAUAUGGUCCAAAACUUGCCAUUUUGGAAACUUGGAAUUACAUGUCACUUUCCAUUUUGGAAACUUUUGAUCUGGCUUUCAAAUUCUUCAAGGUCUGUGUUGACAUGAUGAAUAAGCCUCUUUAGGACAUGAAUGAAGUCUCUCAAACCAUUUCUCCACCUCAAAGCCCUCAGUGUACUGCACAGUUGACUGUAUGGGCCUCAGAUGACCUGAAAAUGCCCUGAUACUUUGGACCCUACACUUGGCAAAGUUGCUUCAAAAUGAACCUUGGCUCAUAUAAGCUUUCUAGAAUAAUCAUGUGGCCUUCAUCUCAAGGAAAAACUUGCUCUUUUGUACAGAUGAAUCUCUUGAUGCCAUGCUGACUGCCAAGAUGCAUGCAAUAUGGAAUGAUAAAUGACCUAAAAAAUGAAAUGAAUACAUAAAUGGGGGGUGCAAAUUUUGAGGUGCUACAGCUGCCCUAUUCAAUCAACUGAGAACAUGAACGGAUGAAAGUGACGGCUAUCAGACCUUCAAGGUAACAAAGAUUGAAUACCAAAGAACCGUAAAAUUUGCACUCUGCAGGGGACUAAGUGAAGGAAGCGAGGCUCAAGACAAGACAUCUACGAUGAAUGGGAAGAAAGAAACCCGACCAGACAUCAACCGAUGAAUGGGAAGAAAGCAACACCGACAGACAUCAACGGAUGAAUGGGAAGAAAGAAACACGACCAGACAUCAACUGAUGAAUGGAAGAAAGAAACCACGACCAAGACAUCAACGGAUGAAUGGGAGAGAGAAACCACGACCAGACAUCCAUCGAUGAAUGGGAAGAAAGAAACCACGACCAGAUAUCCACUGAUGAAUGGGAGAAAGAAACCACGACCAGAAAUCAACGGAUGAAUGGGAAGAAGAAACCGCGACAGACAUCAACAGAUGAAUGGGAAGAAAACACGACCAGACAUCACGGAUAAAUGGAGAAGAGAAACAGACCAGACUUCUCCGAUGAUGGGAGAAAAAACCACGACAGACAUCAACGGAUGAAUGGAGAAAGGAAACCACGACCAGACAUCCACUGAUGAAUGGGAAGAAAAAACACGACCAGACAUCAGGAUGAAUGCGGAAAAGAAACCACGACCAGACAUCAACGAAUGAAGGAAAGAAAAAAACCAGACAGACAUCCCUGAUGAAUGGAGAAAAGAAACCAUGACAGACAUAACAGAUGAAUGGAGAGAGAAACAUGACCUACUCCACGAUAUGGAAAGAAAAAAACCAGACCAGACAUCAACGGAUGAAUGGAAGAAGAACAGACAGACUCAACGGAUGAAUCGAAAGAAGCCACGACCAGACAUCAACGGAUGAAUGGGAAGAGAGAAACAGACCAUACAUCAACGGAUAAUGGGAAGAGAGAAACCACGACCAGACACAACGGAGAAUGGGAAGAAACCACGACAGACAUCACGGAUGAAUGGAAGAAAGAACACGACAACAUCCAUUAUAAUGGAGAAAAGAAACCACACCAGACAUAAGGAUGAAUAUGAAGAGAGAAACAAGACCAGACAUCAACAGAUGAAUGGGAGAAAAAAACACGACCAGCAUCACUAUUGAAUGGGAAGAGAACACGACCGACAUCAACGGAUAAUGGAGAAGUAGCCACGACCAAGACAUCAACGGAUGAAUGGGAAGAAAAACCACGACCAGCACAUCUCGGAUGAAUGAAGAGGAAACCACGACCAACAUCCACUGAUGAAUGGAAGAAAAGAACACGACCAGACGUCAACAGAGAAUGGAGAAAAGAAACACGCCAACACAACGAUAAAUGGAAAGAGAACCACGACCAGACACUGAAGGAUGAAUGGAGAGAGAAACCACGCCAGACAUCAAUGAUGAAUGGGAAGAAAGAACCACGAUCAGACAUCAACGGCAUGAAUGGAAAAAAAACCCGACCAGACAUCACAGAUGAAUGGGAAGAAAAAACCACGACCAGACAUCACUAAUGAAUUGAGAAAAGAAACCACGACCAGAGCAUCAACGACGAAUGGAAGAGACAAACCACGACAAACAUCACGAUGAAUGGAAGAAAAACCACACCAGACAUAACUAAUGAAUGGAAGAGAAACACGACCAGACAUCAACGGAUGAAUGGAAACAACACCACCAGACAUCAAUGUUGAAUGGGAAGAAAGAAACCAUGAACAGACUCACGGAUGAAUGCGAAGAAGAAACCACGACCAGUCAUCCAACGAAUGAAGGGAAGAAAGGAAACCACGACCAGGACAUCCACUGAUGAAUGGAGAAAAGAAACCACGACCAGACAUCAACGGAUGAAUGGGAAGAGAGAAAACAGACCAGACAUCCACGAAUGAAUGGGAAGAAAGAAACCACGACCAGACAUCAACGAUGAAUGGGAAAAAGAAACCACGACCAGACGUCAACGGAUGAAUGCGAAGAAGAGCACGACCAGACAUUAACGAUGAAUGGGAAAGAGAAACCAUGACCAGACAUCAACGAUGAAUGGAAGAGAAAACCACGACCAGACAUCAACGGAUGAAUGGAAGAGAAACCACGACCAAACAUCAACGAUGAAUGGAAGAAAAACCACGACCAUACAUCCACUGAUGAAUGGGAGAAAAGAAACCAGGACGCGACAAUCAACGGAUGAAGGAAGAGAGAAACCACGACCAGACAUCCACGGAUGAAUGGGAAGAGAAAACCACGACCAGACAACAAUGAUGAAUGGAAGAGAAAACACGACCAGACAUAACGGAUGAAUGGAAGAAGAGAAGCCAACGACCAGACCUCAAACUGAUUGAAUGGUGAGAGCACGACAGCUAAAGGAUAAGGGACAGAGAACCGACAAGACAUCAACGAUAUGAAUUGGAGAAGAGAAACCACGACCAGACACUCCGACGAAUGGGAAAGAUCAACCACGACCAGAACAUCCACGGAUGAAUGGAGAAAGAAAAACCACGACCAGACAUCAACUUUGAAUGAAUGGGGAAGAAGAAACCACGACCAGACCAUCCAACGGAUGAAUGGGAAGACAAGAAGCACCACCGACAUCAAGGGUUGAAUAGAAUAACAACAGACAUUCUCUCGAUGAAUGGAGAGAGAAAGACAGCACCACGUAGAAGAACCAGACAGACAUCCACUGAUGAAUGGGAGAAAAGAAACCAUGGACCAGACAUCCAACGAUGAUGGAAGAGCAGAAACCAGACCAUACAUCCACGAAUGAAUGGAAAGAAAAAACACGACCAGAACAUCAACGGAUGAAAUUGGGAAAAAGAAACCACGACCUAGGACGUCAACGGAUGAAUGGCGAAGAAAGAAGCCACGACAGAACAUCAACGGAUGAAUGGGGAAGAGAGAAACCACUGACCAUACAUCAACGGAUGAAUGGAGAGAGAGGGAAACCACGACCCAGAAUAACGAUGAAUGGGAAGAAAGAAACCACGAACCAAACAUCAACAGGAUGAAUGGAGAAAGAAACCACGACCAUACAUCCACUUAUGAAUGGGAGAAAAAGAAACCACGACCGACUCAACGAUGAUGUGGAAGAGAGAAACCACGACCAGAAUCGCACAGGAUGAAUGGGAAGAAAACCACGACCAGGACAUCAACUAUUGAAUGGGAAGAGAAAACACGACAGACUAACGAUGAAUGGGAAGAAAGUAGCCACGACCAGACAUCAACGGAUUGAAAUGGAAGAAAGAAACCACGACCCAAACAUCACAUGAUGAAUGGAGAAAGAGAAACCAGCGACAAGACAUCAACGGAUGAAUGGGAGAGAGAAACCACGACCAGACAAUCCCGCGAUGAAUGGAAAAGAAAACCACGACCAAGACAUCAAACGGAUGAAUGGGAGAAAGAAACCACGACCAAACAUCCACUGAUGAAUGGGAAGAAAGGGAACACGACCAGACUCAACAGAUGAAUGGGAAGAAAGGGAAACCACGACCCAGACAUCAACGGCAUAAAUGGGAAGAGAAAACCACGGACCAGACAUCAACGAUGAAUUGGGAAGAGAGAAACCACGACCAGAACAUCAACGGAUGAAUGAAAGAAAAGAAACCACAUCAGACAUCAACGAUGAAUGGAAGAAAGAAACACGACCAGACAUCAACAGAUGAAAUGGAAGAAGAAACCACGACCAGACAUCCCACUAAUGAAUGCGAGAAAGAAACCACGAACCAGACAUCAUACGAUGAAUGGAGAGAGAAACCACGACCAAAAACAUCCACGGAUGAAUGGGAAGAAAAAACCACGGGACCAGACAUCAACUGAUGAAUGGGAAGAGAAACCACGACCAGGACAUCAACGAGAAUGGAAGGACAUAAGCCACCACCAGACAUCAAUUGGGUGAAUGGGAAGAGAGAAACCACGGACAACAUUCUUCUCGGAUGAAUUGGGAGAGAGAACCACGGACCAGACAACAACGAGAAUGAGAAGAACCACGGACCAGACAUCCACUGAUGAAUGCGGAGAAAAGAAACCACGACCAGACUCAAGAGCGAUGAAGGGAGAGAAAACACGGGACCUGACAUUCCUACGGAUGAAUGGAAGAAAGAGAACUACGACCAGACAUCACGGAUGAAUGGGAAAGAAAUAAACACGACGCAGACGAUCGCACUGAUGAAGAGAAAAGCACGACCAGACUUCAACAGAUGAAUGGAAGAAAAGAAGCCACGACCAACAUUCAAUGAUGAAUUGGGAAGAGAGAAACCCACGACCAGACAUCAACAAAUGAAUGAAGAGAGAAACACGACCAGACAUCAACGAUGAAUGGGAAGAAAGAAACAACGGACCAGACAUCAACGGAUGAAUGGGAAGAAAGAAACCACGACCAGACAUCCACUGAUGAAAGGUUUGAAAAGAAACCACGACCAGACAUCAACGGAUGAAUGGGAAGGUCGUGGUUUCUCUCUUCCCAUUCAUCCGUUGAUGUCUGGUCAUGGUU
Molecule: long non-coding RNA, 19582 nt
Filed under: Lathyrus oleraceus (garden pea)
Lineage: Eukaryota; Viridiplantae; Streptophyta; Magnoliopsida; Fabales; Fabaceae
Description: Pisum sativum (pea) long non-coding RNA (PSAT_LNC012108)
Source: RNAcentral